UUAAAACCAAAAAAAAAUGAAUUU
This 24-nucleotide small RNA is filed under the name Arabidopsis thaliana (thale cress). RNAcentral's name for it is "ATSL253070". Lineage: Eukaryota; Viridiplantae; Streptophyta; Magnoliopsida; Brassicales; Brassicaceae. The record is from RNAcentral.